AGAGUUUGAUCCUGGCUCAGGAUGAACGCUGGCGGCGUGCCUAACACAUGCAAGUCGAACGAAGUUUUAACGACGGAAGUCUUCGGACGGAAGAUGUUACAACUUAGUGGCGGACGGGUGAGUAACGCGUGAGCAACCUGCCUUUCAGAGGGGGACAACAGUUGGAAACGACUGCUAAUACCGCAUAACGUAUAUUUAUGGCAUCAUAGAUAUACCAAAGGAGCAAUCCGCUGAAAGAUGGGCUCGCGUUGGAUUAGAUAGUUGGUGGGGUAACGGCCUACCAAGUCGACGAUCCAUAGCCGGACUGAGAGGUUGAACGGCCACAUUGGGACUGAGACACGGCCCAGACUCCUACGGGAGGCAGCAGUGGGGGAUAUUGCACAAUGGGCGAAAGCCUGAUGCAGCAACGCCGCGUGAGGGAAGAAGGUCUUCGGAUUGUAAACCUUUGUCCUUGCUGACGAAUAAAGUGACGGUAAGCAAGGAGGAAGUCACGGCUAACUACGUGCCAGCAGCCGCGGUAAUACGUAGGUGGCAAGCGUUAUCCGGAUUUACUGGGUGUAAAGGGUGCGCAGGCGGGAACGCAAGUUGGAUGUGAAAUGUCGGGGCUCAACCCCGGAACUGCAUCCAAAACUGCGACUCUUGAGUGAAGUAGAGGUAAGCGGAAUUCCGAGUGUAGCGGUGAAAUGCGUAGAUAUUCGGAGGAACACCAGUGGCGAAGGCGGCUUACUGGGCUUUAACUGACGCUGAGGCACGAAAGUGUGGGGAGCAAACAGGAUUAGAUACCCUGGUAGUCCACACUGUAAACGAUGAUUGCUAGGUGUGGGGGGACUGACCCCUUCCGUGCCGGAGUAAACACAAUAAGCAAUCCACC
Molecule: ribosomal RNA, 871 nt
Filed under: uncultured rumen bacterium
Lineage: Bacteria
Description: bacterial SSU rRNA
Rfam family: Bacterial small subunit ribosomal RNA
Source: RNAcentral